RNAcentral lists this ribosomal RNA (305 nucleotides) under uncultured bacterium. RNAcentral describes it as "bacterial SSU rRNA". It matches the Rfam family "Bacterial small subunit ribosomal RNA", at positions 336 to 657 of the family's 1533-position model. The record is from RNAcentral.
UUCCUACGGGGGGCAGCAGUGGGGAAUAUUGCACAAUGGGCGAAAGCCUGAUGCAGCAACGCCGCGUGAAGGAAGAAGGCCUUCGGGUCGUAAACUUCUGUCCUUGGGGAAGAAGAACUGACGGUACCCAAGGAGGAAGCCCCGGCUAACUACGUGCCAGCAGCCGCGGUAAUACGUAGGGGGCAAGCGUUAUCCGGAAUUACUGGGUGUAAAGGGAGCGUAGGCGGGGAUGCAAGUUGGGUGUCAAAACUACCGGCUCAACUGGUAGUCGCACUCAAAACUGCAGCUCUUGAGUGAAGUAGAGG